RNAcentral lists this ribosomal RNA (529 nucleotides) under uncultured bacterium. RNAcentral describes it as "bacterial SSU rRNA". It matches the Rfam family "Bacterial small subunit ribosomal RNA", at positions 777 to 1304 of the family's 1533-position model. The record is from RNAcentral.
AAUAGAUACCCAGGUAGUCCACGCCGUAAACGUUGGGCGCUAGAUGUGGGGACCAUUCCACGGUUUCCGCGUCGUAGCUAACGCAUUAAGCGCCCCGCCUGGGGAGUACGGCCGCAAGGCUAAAACUCAAAGGAAUUGACGGGGGCCCGCACAAGCGGCGGAGCAUGCGGAUUAAUUCGAUGCAACGCGAAGAACCUUACCAAGGCUUGACAUAUGCGAGAACGCUCUAGAAAUAGAGAACUCUUUGGACACUCGUAUACAGGUGGUGCAUGGUUGUCGUCAGCUCGUGUCGUGAGAUGUUGGGUUAAGUCCCGCAACGAGCGCAACCCUCGUCGCAUGUUGCCAGCACGUAAUGGUGGGAACUCAUGUGAGACUGCCGGGGUCAACUCGGAGGAAGGUGGGGAUGACGUCAAAUCAUCAUGCCCCUUAUGUCUUGGGCCUCACGCAUGCUACAAUGGCCGGUACAAAGGGCUGCGAAACCGCAAGGUGGAGCGAAUCCCAAAAAGCCGGUCUCAGUUCGGAUUGAGGU